RNAcentral lists this long non-coding RNA (429 nucleotides) under Vigna radiata. RNAcentral describes it as "long non-coding RNA (VRAD_LNC003787)". The record is from RNAcentral. Lineage: Eukaryota; Viridiplantae; Streptophyta; Magnoliopsida; Fabales; Fabaceae.
AUAAAUCACUAUAGAAAAAUGUAGUAAAAAGGAAACAGAAGCAGAAUCAACGCAUUUCCAUAAUAGAAAACAGAAGCAAAUUUUCUCUCUAGCAAAUCGUAGGUCUCCUUCAAUCUGAGUAAUGAUGUUUGUUGUAGCUACCUUCAAUCUCAAGACCAUCUUCCACCUAUAUCAAACACAAUGAACGGACCAAAUCGUAAAUCCCAUGCCAUUUCAUUCGAAAUCGUUCCUCUAGAACAACUCACCCCAUUCAUCUUUACCUUCGUUCCCCCAACACACCAAUUUCGAUGUAGCUCAACCUCGAAGACCGACGAGGCACCACCUCAAUCUCUUGCUCAACUCGUAACCCAUUAGUAGCAUCUGAUUUCCUCCCUGGCUGAGAGGGUGCUCAAAGGAGUUUUGCAGCAACAAAGUCUCGGUGAUGACCCC